This 329-nucleotide ribosomal RNA is filed under the name uncultured eukaryote. RNAcentral describes it as "partial 18S ribosomal RNA". It matches the Rfam family "Eukaryotic small subunit ribosomal RNA", at positions 1470 to 1796 of the family's 1831-position model. The record is from RNAcentral.
CCCUUAGAUGUUCUGGGCCGCACGCGCGCUACACUGAUGCAUUCAACGAGUCUAAAACCUGCUCUGAUAGGGGUGGGUAAUCUUUUGAAUGUGCAUCGUGAUUGGGAUAGAUGAUUGAAAUUUUUCAUCUUCAACGAGGAAUGCCUAGUAAACACAAGUCAUCAGCUUGCAUUGAUUACGUCCCUGCCCUUUGUACACACCGCCCGUCGCUCCUACCGAUUGAAUGAUCCGAUGAAUAUCAUGGAUUGAGGAUGCAAGUAGGUUCACCUAUCUUCAUCUUCGAGAAGUGAAGUAAAUCUUAUCAUUUAGAGGAAGGAGAAGUCGUAACA